RNAcentral lists this long non-coding RNA (1197 nucleotides) under Musa acuminata (dwarf banana). RNAcentral's name for it is "long non-coding RNA (MACU_LNC000168)". The record is from RNAcentral. Lineage: Eukaryota; Viridiplantae; Streptophyta; Magnoliopsida; Zingiberales; Musaceae.
CGACCGAGGAGGCCUCGGGCAUUAUGCGACCGAGGUGGUGGCCUCGGCAAGCAUGGAGCCGAGACACUCGACGCAGGCAGGCUGCGGGCGAGGGACGUAACCCAGGUGGGCAAGGUAGUGGAUAUGGCCGAGGAGUUCGGCGCGGGCAGGCUGGCCGCACAGGCGUGUCUCGGGGUUUAUGGAGCCGAGGGGCACGACGCAGGCGUACUGGCGGCGCUGGUCUGUCUCGGGAACAUGGAGCCAAGGAGCACGACGCAGGCGGUCGGGUCGCGCAGGUGUGUCUCGGGGAUGAUGGAAGCGAGGAGCACGACGCAGGCGGGCAGGCCGCGCAGGUGUGGUCUCGGUCAUCAUGCUGUCGAGGAGCACGACGCAGGCGAGCAGAUCGCGUAGGCGUGGUCGCGAGGGCCAUGCGGCCGAGUAGCACGAUCAGGCGGGCAGGACGCGAGGACGUGGCCUCAGGCACCACGCGAUCGAGGAACACGACAGGCGGUCGGGCCGUGCCGAGGUGGGUCUCGGCAGAGAUUGGCCGAGGUGCUCGAUGCAGGUAGGCUGCGACUGAGGGGCACCGCUCAGGCGCGCAAGCCGCGCUGAGGUAGGCUCGGCAUAAACAGGCUGCGACCGAGCGGGCACUGCUCAGGCGGGCAGACCGCGCUGAGGUAGGCUCGGCGCAGGCAAGCUGCGACCGAGGGGCGAGACCCUGGUGGGUAAGCUUCCUUGAGACAGACUCGGUAGUGAAUAUGGCCGAGUAGCUUAGCGCAGGCAGGCUGGCCGCGCAGGCGUGUCUCGGGGGGUAUGGAGCCGAGGGACACGACGUAGGCGGGCUGGCGGCGCUGGUCUGUCUCGGGAACAUGGAGCCAAGGAGUACGACGCAGGCGGCUGGCGGCGCAGGUGUGGUCUCGGGCAUUACGCGACCGAGGAGCACGACGCAGGCGGGCAGACCGCGCAGGCGUGAUCGCGAGGGCCAUGCGACCGAGUAGCACGACGCAGGCGGGCAGGACGCGAGGACGUUGACUCGGGCACCAUGCGGCCGAGGUACACGACAGAGGCGGACAGGUCGCGCCGAGGUAGAUUUCGGCAGUGUUUGGCCGAGGUGCUCGGUGUAGGCGGAUAGACCGCGCAUGGGGCUGAGGCAGCAAGCUGCGCUGUCAGCCGAGCGACUGAGGCGGGCUGGCCGCGCAUGGGGCCGUGGCAGCAGGC